AGCUCCUCCUGCCCUCGUGGUGGGAUGGGGUCAAUCCCAGUGCUCCACUGCUCUGUGCCGCUUGGGUGCUGGGUCUGUAAUCAUUUACCCCAUGCACAUGGGUGGUAUAUGAGGGGCCUGCUGGGUGUUGGGGGGUUUUACAGUUUGGAAGAGUCGCAAAAUCUGGUGACAGCAAAGCGCUGUGCGGGACGGGGCUGCUGCAGCCCUGGGACCUCACUGCAGGAUGCACACGCGUGCCCAUGCUGCAUGGCAGUGAGCGGUGCAGGGCUGCUGUGCACAUGGACUUGGGCACUCCGUGUAUCCUGGUGCUGGUGUUCGGUUUAAUGAGCACUAAAUAUCGAUCUCGCUGAAGGCAACCCCACGUAACCCCCUUUGGGGACGGGACACGGUGCUCAGCACAGCCACGUUUCAGCUCCCUGGUAGCCACUGCGGUUGUCCCUCAUCCCCACGGUGCUCAGCCCGCUCCAGGCUCAUCUCCAUCCCCAUCGCUCGCUGGUGGGCACACACCGGGGGAACGGGCAGGAGGGCAGCGCAAGGAGAGGGCAGGGGCAGGUGGGGUCCCCUCGGUGCCACUGCGGUGCCACCCCGCUGCGUGCCAGGGCACGGGGCAGGGACGCGGGGUGCCAGGGCUGCAGGGGGUGGGGCCGUGGGGUGAUGGCGAGGCCGCGGGGUGACCCUGGCCCCUCCGCACCGCCCCAGCCCCGCCGGGCGCGCCGCGUUCCCUGCCUUGUUUUCAUGGUCUCACCCAGCUCUGACCUGCCUCAAAUGUUGACACAAUGUCACGUUUCCGACUGCAGCCUUUCAUGUGCAGCCGGAGGCUAAAUGCGGCGGCUGGUUCCUGGAAAAAGACGUGCCUGGCACCCUUUCAGCAGCAACCCGAUCCCCAUGCAGGCUUGGCACAGCAGCUGAAUAACAUGGCAAUAACUCUUUCAGCAGCGUUUCAACCCAUAAAUAGGGCUUCCCGAGCACCCCCUUGAAGGAAGGCGAGGAGGGAGACACAAGGAUUAUUUAAAAAAAAAUUUAAAAAAAAAAUUGAAGAAAAACAAACCAGAGCACGAGAAAAGCGAACAGGAGGAAGCAGCCCCAUCAGAAACAGAUCAAAGGGAAGCGGGGUGACGCUGCACAGGGUCUGGGGAACAGGAGAGGGAUUGCCUCAAAAGGAAAGCACUGCACAGGGAGUUUUGCCGCCCGGGCUCUGCUCUGUGCCAUCCCCGUGCAGGUUGGGGGGAGCUCUGUGGUGAGGACCCCCGGCCCUGCAGGAUGCACUGGGAGCUCCCCACCACCUGUUGGGAAAGCUCCUCCACCGGCCCAGGGUGGCUGCAGGCGUGCCCGGGAGCUGCUGAUUUGCAUUAUGCAUGGACCAGGGCCUAAAAUAAUCCCCAGUGACGCACUUUUUUUUUUUUUUUUUCCUGUGAUUUUUUUUUUUUUCUCCUUUUUGUUUCUUUCAGAACUCCAUUUUUUGUGACUUUUCAGGAACGGGCAUCCCAGGGGCUCCUGGCUCCCCAAACCGGGGCAGGCACGGGGCACGGAGCGGGGACGCAGCCCGGGUGGGAGCGGUGCCCUCCUGCGCUGCCCCCGCUCUCGUCUCCCAGCGUGUAGCUACAAGUGCCAUGUGUUUACAAACGCAGCAUUGCAAGAUCCCUUGAACUGUGUCCUAGUACAAAAGAGGCUUUGAAACAAGAACCACGUUGUCAUGGCAUGUUUCAGGCCAGCAGCACCAGACUGAACCAGAUAAUUGCUGUUUCUCCUUUAGCUACUGUGUUGUGGGAGAAGGCGUAAGGUUGAGCAAGGCUCGGCCCUUGAUGGGGGCUCGGGGCUGAGAGGGGGUGGUUGGGGCUGGGGUACAAUGGGCUCUCAGCACACCCACGGUGGGGUCUGAGGAACCAGGAAGGAAAGGUACAGGCACAGCGCGGUGUGAAAGGCAGCGGAUUCCUGGAGCAUUGCUGGUCCUUGGCACAGGUGCUCGUCCCAGGGGCAGGCGGUGGGGCCGCUGCCCAGCGCUUCCCGCUUAUCCCUGGAUGCGCUCCAGCGCACGUGAGCAGCACGAGCCCGUGGGGAGUGCCGGGAGGCGCCGCUCGGAGGGGCUUUCCAGCCACAUCCACGUCUGAACCUCGCAGUGAGGCGAAGGCGUUGGGGAGAGGCCGAGAUGGAGAUCUGCUCACAUCCCGGAGCGCUCGGAGCGAUGACUCAAAGGAUUCCUGGCGUUACUGCGCUGCGAGGUGCAGCGCGCUGCCACCGCCGCCGUCAGCAGAACUGCGCUCCCUCGGACAGCUGCGAGCGCUCGCAGGUUUAUAGGGCUUAUUAGGCAAUUUCCUAUUAAAAAUGUUUAUGUGAACAUA
Long non-coding RNA from Numida meleagris (helmeted guineafowl), 2339 nucleotides. RefSeq lists it as uncharacterized. Lineage: Eukaryota; Metazoa; Chordata; Aves; Galliformes; Numididae. The record is from RefSeq and is a predicted model, not a curated record. The transcript is spliced from 2 exons.